Molecule: ribosomal RNA, 787 nt
Filed under: Burkholderia sp. 115
Lineage: Bacteria; Pseudomonadati; Pseudomonadota; Betaproteobacteria; Burkholderiales; Burkholderiaceae
Description: bacterial SSU rRNA
Rfam family: Bacterial small subunit ribosomal RNA
Source: RNAcentral
CUUACACAUGCAAGUCGAACGGCAGCACGGGGGCAACCCUGGUGGCGAGUGGCGAACGGGUGAGUAAUACAUCGGAACGUGUCCUGUAGUGGGGGAUAGCCCGGCGAAAGCCGGAUUAAUACCGCAUACGCUCUACGGAGGAAAGGGGGGGAUCUUAGGACCUCCCGCUACAGGGGCGGCCGAUGGCAGAUUAGCUAGUUGGUGGGGUAAAGGCCUACCAAGGCGACGAUCUGUAGCUGGUCUGAGAGGACGACCAGCCACACUGGGACUGAGACACGGCCCAGACUCCUACGGGAGGCAGCAGUGGGGAAUUUUGGACAAUGGGGGCAACCCUGAUCCAGCAAUGCCGCGUGUGCGAAGAAGGCCUUCGGGUUGUAAAGCACUUUUGUCCGGAAAGAAAACGCCGUGGUUAAUACCCGUGGCGGAUGACGGUACCGGAAGAAUAAGCACCGGCUAACUACGUGCCAGCAGCCGCGGUAAUACGUAGGGUGCAAGCGUUAAUCGGAAUUACUGGGCGUAAAGCGUGCGCAGGCGGUCCGCUAAGACAGAUGUGAAAUCCCCGGGCUUAACCUGGGAACUGCAUUUGUGACUGGCGGGCUAGAGUAUGGCAGAGGGGGGUAGAAUUCCACGUGUAGCAGUGAAAUGCGUAGAGAUGUGGAGGAAUACCGAUGGCGAAGGCAGCCCCCUGGGCCAAUACUGACGCUCAUGCACGAAAGCGUGGGGGGCAAACAGGAUUAGAUACCCUGGUAGUCCACGCCCUAAACGAUGUCAACUAGUUGUCGGGUCU